This 377-nucleotide long non-coding RNA is filed under the name Homo sapiens (human). RNAcentral's name for it is "HSALNT0127426". The record is from RNAcentral. Lineage: Eukaryota; Metazoa; Chordata; Mammalia; Primates; Hominidae.
GAAAAGGCACAAUUCCAAUGUAUCAUUUACAAUUGAAUGUUGUUAACCUGGCUUUGUUGUUUGGAAGAACAAUCCUCUUGUUAGGGUUAGGUAAUUACUCCCUUCCCUUACUCCUGGACAGUGAGAGGGGUCUGACAUUGGGAUAUGGUGUCCCAGGAGCUUAGCUGGUCAGGUGUGUGGAACCCAAAGGAGCAAAGAGCCAAGACAGCCCCUUGGAGAGAGAGAGAAAUGAAAACCAAGCAAGCUGUUAAAUUGAAUAUCACUCAGGAGUUAGGUAGAAUGAAAUAAUUCAGCCUUGGGACGACGGGACAAAAACCAGAUGAAAGCAAUGGGGAUUUCGAGAUGGCAAAGGGUACAGAGAAGUCACAAGAGCAAGG